This 461-nucleotide ribosomal RNA is filed under the name uncultured bacterium. Its description in RNAcentral is "partial 16S ribosomal RNA". It matches the Rfam family "Bacterial small subunit ribosomal RNA", at positions 338 to 795 of the family's 1533-position model. The record is from RNAcentral.
CCUACGGGUGGCAGCAGUGAGGAAUAUUGGUCAAUGGGCGGAAGCCUGAACCAGCCAAGUCGCGUGAGGGAAUAAGGCCCUACGGGUCGUAAACCUCUUUUGCCGGGGAGCAAGGGCGGGGACGUGUCCCGGCCCGGAGAGUACCCGGAGAAAAAGCAUCGGCUAACUCCGUGCCAGCAGCCGCGGUAAUACGGAGGAUGCGAGCGUUAUCCGGAUUUAUUGGGGUUAAAGGGUGCGUCGGCGGCCGUUUAAGUCAGCGGGGAAAGUCUGUGGCCAAACCAUAGAAUUGCCGUUGAAACUGGGAGGCUUGAGUAUGUUUGAGGCAGGCGGAAUGCGUGGUGUAGCGGUGAAAUGCUUAGAGAUCACGCAGAACCCCGAUUGCGAAGGCAGCCUGCCAAGCCAUGACUGACGCUGAUGCACGAAAGCGUGGGGAUCAAACAGGAUUAGAUACCCCUGUAGUC